Photinus pyralis (common eastern firefly) is the source of this 4307-nucleotide long non-coding RNA. RefSeq lists it as uncharacterized. The record is from RefSeq and is a predicted model, not a curated record. The transcript has 4 exons. Lineage: Eukaryota; Metazoa; Arthropoda; Insecta; Coleoptera; Lampyridae.
AUAUUACAGUAUGUUGUGAGUCAAAAGUGUUUAGGUUUUUGCGUUUGGGUUGAAUACUAUUAUUAUUAUCUAUCGAUUGCUUGAGUGUCGCAAAUGUCUGUAUUUCUGAGUUGUUUAGAACGGAUGUACUAUCUUGUACGGUAAGUUUGUUUUGAGUAGUGCUUCAAUUUCGUGCUAAAAAAAAUGUGGUUGAACUAGUCCCCUUUAGUGCCCAUAGUUAUAUCCUACACGCUGUAUACGAUUUACUAAUUACUCUGUAUUAUUUCGAGUAGAUUGUAAAUUAGCAAUAAAGUUAAAAAAAAAUUAAAGAACUUAAUUUUAAUUUUACCUGUGAAAUAAAUUUUUACCUCUUAUAAAUAUAACUACAAAUUUGACUGAUAGUUUUAUACGGUUUGAAGUUAUCCAAGGACUAGGCGAAGGUGACUUCACUCCGAUCUUCACUUUCUAGUAUUGAGCAUAUAUUAGCGUUCUUCCAUGUUGGGAGCGGAAGGAGGUAUUGAAUAAAUUGUGCACAGCCACCACACCAGCACAGUCUAUGGUAAAAAAAAAAGAUGAGUCCUGAGGAGGCGUCGUAGUAUCUGCUCUUUAAUUUGUUUAUGGCUAACACUACUUCAUCUCUAAAACCAUUUUUUUUUUUGUUCCAUACAGCACCAUAUGUUUUAGCUAGGCCGCACGAGGUGUAUGCACAGUAUCAAAGAAUUUCGAAUGCUUUGAAAUUCCAUUAUAAUUGCUAAUACUGUUCUAACAUGUAAUGUUGCAGGUGUCGUAGCUGCAGUCGCCUUCAGAAACUUUACUUGUGACCAGUGCCAUAAAAAGUACAAAAAUCUUCCUUCUUUAACUGCUCAUAAGCAUUUGGACUGUGGAAAGGAUCGAAGUUUUCAAUGUUCAGUGUGUCCUUACAAAUCUAGACGCAAAUAUAAUGUAUCGUCAAAUUUUCUAUACAUUAUUCCGUUUUAAAUAAUAAACAUUUAUGACUUAAAACUCCAAUUUUAUGAACUCGUUCACUGAGUAUACGUUUUUAUAUGCAAGGAAUUAACGAAACAAUUUCCUGUAGUAAGCUCAAUAACAUGAAUGGACUAAAAAAAAUCUGGCCCUACAAUACUUUUGAUACGUUUUUACUGUACCUAAACGAAUUUUGGGAAUGUUAUGGGUCUUUGCUCAAGUGAUUAUCUUCUAUGUUAAAUAGGCGAGAAACAAAUGUUUAUGUCACUUUUAAUGUAUGAUUACCAAGUCGCAAUCUACGACCAUCAAUCCAAAAAUGUCCAAACACGUAAAGACAUUUGUGUUUUAGGCCAAGUAAUGGACGAGAUGUUUACUUGCGACACAUGUGGCAAACAAUACAAGUACUAUCGCAAUUUGUGGACUCACAAACGAUACGAGUGUAACCAAAUCGGACAGUUUAUUUGUCAGGACACGGGGCUCGCUAUCAAUGUAAAAGUUGUUUAAAAAGUUACAAGCAUGAUGGUUCGCUUUGGAGACACGAAAAAUAUGAAUGCGGAAAAACUGCUCAAUUUAUAUGCCAUAUUGGAAAUUGUACUUACGGGGCUAAGCAAAAAUCUAAUUUUAAAAAGCAUCUGAUUCGUAGUCACGCUGUUUAUAACGAUGCAAUUAUUUGAAACAAAUAUAGAAAAAAAAUUGUCUUUCUAAUGUAAGUCGCAAACGGCGGUUACCUCUCAUUUUUGCCUGUAGAUAACUGCAUCGGUAAGUAAGACGCCCUUUUUCCACUCAGUCGGUCUAACAGACGGUGCAGAAUAGAAGGUUUAAUUAUAAAGAACAUCACAUAAAAUUGAUAUAAUACGUAUGUUCUUGCAGCUACACCGAUUAGGAGGUUACUAGGUAGAAGUUGCUUCUCAUGUACGUUUUCCGCAUCUUCAAAGAGAAAAAUAUUCAACAGAAUACCAUCAACUCUCCGGGUUAUAUGUCUUGCAUGCUGUGUUUUCGCGUCAUACUGUAAAAAUUGCAACCAGAAGUGGAGACAUCAAAUGCUGCGUCAUACUCCACCAUUUUGCGGGGACUGCAACAUACUGAUGUUGUCGUAUUUCGUUAGGAGCGCUGGAAUAGAUGGUACCUACAGACCGAGGUUACUACCGUGUCAGAACUUACGGACGACAUCAGUUCGUGUGCAGAAGAUGUAACCUGGCGUAUAAGCAAAAGGGUCAUCUUUUAAGACACAUUCGCCUUUACUGUGAAAACCGUAUUAAGUUGAUGGAAAUAAUUAGAAAAAGUAGAUCAACGUAGUUUGUGCUCAUUAUCUGGCAAUGUCGGCGCAUACGAAAUUUGAACCAAAUAAACGGUCUGAUUGAAACCGUGCGGUCUGCAGUGGUUAAUGUAUUUUCUGGGGGACUAAUGAACUUCGUUCAAUUUUCGUAAGCCUCGCAUAGUGUACCUGAAUAUAAUAGGAAUGUUAAAUUUGAAUAUAACAUUUUGUUAUUAAAUACUGAACAUUGAAUACAUUGAAAUUGUGGCCCCAUUAAUAAUAUUGUCAAACGUUUAUAAAUUACCAAGAUUAAAUAAUUAGCAAUUAUUAAUAUAGAGCGAACCACAAUUAUUGAAAAUCUACCAGUUAACUCCAGCUUAUAAUUGUCAAAUUUAUCUGACAUCUCAACCGAAAAGGGGCCCGAGAAGUACGUAUAAACCACUAUUUUUGUUGCACAAUUAGAAGACUAGGGUAUCAUCUUUGUUUUUAAAAAAGGAAGCAGCGCGAUUGAGCGUUUUGUGCCUUCCGGUCUCAGGGGUUCACCGAAGCCCAAGAUUGGAUAUUGGUUUAUUGCCUAUAAGUUUUGAUGUAGUCGUCCAAUCAUGAAAUUCUGAUCGUUUUAGAUAAAGUCAAAAUGUACCGAAUUCGCGGAAAGGGACGUUGAGGUGCGUUCCUUUAGGCGCACCUCUUUAGGCGCGCGCAUUUAGAUGGCGACUAAUUAGGCACGGGCCCUUUUAGGCGCCGGGACAUUAGGCACGGGUACGGUUAGGCACUAAGGGCCGGUUUUACAAUUACACUUUUACGGAGAAUAAGAUAUUCCUGGAAUAACUGCCAUAGCAACAUGUAUGCCAAUGGUUGACACAAUGGUAACCAACGCAACCGUCGACAUUUAUUCUAGGUAUAGCUUAUUCUCGGUAUAUACCUUCAUUGUAGAAUUUGGGCCUAAAAUAGUUUCCUAUGCGAAUAGAAUUCUUUAAAGCAAAAAUUUAGCGGAACUACUGUCUGUCUAAAGUUGACGCGAAUUAAUAAAUUUUCUUGACAGAGAGCUGCCAGGGGCGUACUGUAAUAUUGUAUCAAAUUCAUAUUGAUUUAAACAAUUAAAUUGCAAUUUGACUAUAAGUCUACUAUCCAGUCUAAACCCACUCGCACGUCUACGACUGCAUGUUGUUGCAGUAAUCCAUGCAGGUAAGAGGGAAAAUCUAUUGUUUGGGAUGCCUUUAGGGUAAGUUUAUGUCAGUAUUGCGUUGGAGGCGACAAAUUUAGUGUGUUUUUUUCUAAAACUACAGAAAAGCGGUUUCAUAAAGAAAUACUAUUACCAUUUCACCAACGUAUAAUUGAUAACUUCUCGUCUAUUUUAGACAGACUGAACAUUAUGAAAGGCUAUUGAAAGUUGGAAAUCUGUAUUGGUAUAAUGCGAUUGUAAAAGGUGUAUAGACACUAAUAGCAGAUUAAAUAUUCUGGUCAUAAUGACAUAUUAAUAAAUUAAUAUAGUUCGUAAAAUGAAUGAUUUUGGGUUUCGGAUUAGCGCUUUGUUUAUGACCCUGACAGGUACUUAGGGCGGUCAACUAUGAACUACAACCGACGUUACGAAACUCAUAAACUCAGAUACAUACACCAAAAAGAGAUGCACAUAUACAAGUCACGUUACGAUUCGUACCGCCGGUAUCCUUAUAAAUACAAAGCAGUGUCGCUCGUGACGUGCCUUGUAUAUUGUGCAUCUCUUUUUGGUGUAUGUAUCUGAAUUUAAGAGUUUCGUAACGUCGGUUGUACUUCGUAGUUCAGAAGCACUAUUUCCAUCAAGUUUGUGGGCCAUGUAUGAUCGAGUUUUGUCAGAUACUACAAAUAAUUAUGCUGAAGCUGCUCAUCGGCGGAUGCAGACGGAGUUAGGAAUGGACCUCUGGAAAUUUAUAUAUAGGCUAAAGAAGAUACAGCAUGGCCGUGACUUAGCAAUUGCAGGGAGACAACCCGAUAAAAAAUUAAAUAAGUAUUUACGAGGUGAUCAAAAUAUUAAGAAUAUUGUUCAAGAUUUUAGAAAUAGAAAUAUUGUUGAUUAUCUUAAAUGUCUCACUCAUAAUUAUCAAAUGGACCCUGAUUUUUUAGUAUUAUACUA